Molecule: ribosomal RNA, 378 nt
Filed under: uncultured bacterium
Lineage: Bacteria
Description: partial 16S ribosomal RNA
Rfam family: Bacterial small subunit ribosomal RNA
Source: RNAcentral
UGGGGAAUCUUAGACAAUGGGGGAAACCCUGAUCUAGCCAUGCCGCGUGAGCGAUGAAGGGCCUUAGGGUUGUAAAGCUCUUUCAGCUGGGAAGAUAAUGACGGUACCAGCAGAAGAAGCCCCCGGGCUAACUCCGUGCCAGCAGCCGCGGUAAUACGGAGGGGGCCUAGCGUUGUUCGGAAUUACUGGGCGUAAAGCGCACGUAGGCGGAUUUAGUCAGUCAGAGGUGAAAUCCCCAGGGCUCAACCCUGGAACUGCCUUUGAUACUGCUAGUCUUGAGGUCGAGAGAGGUGAGUGGAAUUUCCCGAGUGUAGAGGUGAAAUUCGUAGAUAUUCGGAGGAACACCAGUGGCGAAGGCGGCUCACUGGCUCGAUACUG